AAACUGCCAAUUUAAAAAUAAAAAGUUUUCCUUUUAAAAAAUAAAAAAGUUUAUUUAUUCAGAUACUAUUGAGAAUAAUAGAAUAAGAUAAUAAAUAAAAAUAUGUAUCAUCUAUUAUUUAUCAAAAGAAAGUAGCAUUCAAAAAUAUAAAUAAAAUAAUAUGCUAAUAAAAGUUUCUAUUAACAAUGCAAUAAUACUAAAUAUUAGAUAAUAUCUAUAUCUAUAUAUUAUUGAAACGAGAGGAAAAAACCCUCUCCUUAAGUCAAGUGGCAGCCUAGAAAAAACCACAUGGCAUUAGAUGCCUAUAUACAACAACAACAACAACAACAACAACAACAACUACCCAG
RNAcentral lists this long non-coding RNA (347 nucleotides) under Nicotiana benthamiana. RNAcentral describes it as "long non-coding RNA (NBEN_LNC029076)". Lineage: Eukaryota; Viridiplantae; Streptophyta; Magnoliopsida; Solanales; Solanaceae. The record is from RNAcentral.